UACGAAGGGGGCGAGCGUUGUUCGGAAUUACUGGGCGUAAAGGGCGCGUAGGCGGCCGAGCAAGUUAGAUGUGAAAGUCCUGGGCUUAACCUGGGGACUGCAUUUGAUACUGCUUGGCUUGAAUUCGGGAGAGGAUAGCGGAAUUCCCAGUGUAGAGGUGAAAUCGUAGAUAUUGGGGAAGAACACCGGUGGCGAAGGCGGCUCACUGGCUCGUAACUGACGCUCAUGGCACGACAGCGUGGGGAUCAAACAGG
This 254-nucleotide ribosomal RNA is filed under the name uncultured bacterium. RNAcentral describes it as "partial 16S ribosomal RNA". It matches the Rfam family "Bacterial small subunit ribosomal RNA", at positions 524 to 776 of the family's 1533-position model. The record is from RNAcentral.